RNAcentral lists this unclassified non-coding RNA (378 nucleotides) under plant metagenome. RNAcentral describes it as "partial contains 5.8S ribosomal RNA, internal transcribed spacer 2, and large subunit ribosomal RNA". The stretch from base 1 to 105 matches the Rfam family "5.8S ribosomal RNA", at positions 50 to 154 of the family's 154-position model. The record is from RNAcentral.
GAAAUGCGAUAAGUAAUGUGAAUUGCAGAAUUCAGUGAAUCAUCGAAUCUUUGAACGCACCUUGCGCUCCUUGGUAUUCCUUGGAGCAUGCCUGUUUGAGUAUCAUGAAAUCUUCAAAGUAAAUCUUUUGUUAACUCAAUUGGUUUCUACUUUGGUAUUGGAGGUCUUUGCAGCUUCACACCUGCUCCUCUUUGUUCAUUAGCUGGAUCUCAGUGUUAUGCUUGGUUCCACUCGGCGUGAUAAGUUAUCUAUCGCUGAGGACACUGUAAAAGGUGGCCAAGGUAAAUGCAGAUGAACCGCUUCUAAUAGUCCAUUGACUUGGACAAUACUUUUAUGAUCUGAUCUCAAGUCAGGUAGGACUACCCACUGAACUUAAGC